RNAcentral lists this ribosomal RNA (1481 nucleotides) under metagenome. RNAcentral describes it as "bacterial SSU rRNA". It matches the Rfam family "Bacterial small subunit ribosomal RNA". The record is from RNAcentral.
AGAGUUUGAUCCUGGCUCAGGAUGAACGCUGGCGGCGUGCCUAAUACAUGCAAGUCGAACGCUUCACUUCGGUGAAGAGUGGCGAACGGGUGAGUAAUACAUAAGUAACCUGGCAUCUACAGGGGGAUAACUGAUGGAAACGUCAGCUAAGACCGCAUAGGUGUAGAGAUCGCAUGAACUCUAUAUGAAAAGUGCUACGGGACUGGUAGAUGAUGGACUUAUGGCGCAUUAGCUUGUUGGUAGGGUAACGGCCUACCAAGGCGACGAUGCGUAGCCGACCUGAGAGGGUGACCGGCCACACUGGGACUGAGACACGGCCCAGACUCCUACGGGAGGCAGCAGUAGGGAAUUUUCGGCAAUGGGGGAAACCCUGACCGAGCAACGCCGCGUGAAGGAAGAAGUAAUUCGUUAUGUAAACUUCUGUCAUAGAGGAAGAACGGUGGAUAUAGGGAAUGAUAUCCAAGUGACGGUACUCUAUAAGAAAGCCACGGCUAACUACGUGCCAGCAGCCGCGGUAAUACGUAGGUGGCGAGCGUUAUCCGGAAUUAUUGGGCGUAAAGAGGGAGCAGGCGGCACUAAGGGUCUGUGGUGAAAGAUCGAAGCUUAACUUCGGUAAGCCAUGGAAACCGUAGAGCUAGAGUGUGUGAGAGGAUCGUGGAAUUCCAUGUGUAGCGGUGAAAUGCGUAGAUAUAUGGAGGAACACCAGUGGCGAAGGCGACGAUCUGGCGCAUAACUGACGCUCAGUCCCGAAAGCGUGGGGAGCAAAUAGGAUUAGAUACCCUAGUAGUCCACGCCGUAAACGAUGAGUACUAAGUGUUGGGGGUCAAACCUCAGUGCUGCAGUUAACGCAAUAAGUACUCCGCCUGAGUAGUACGUUCGCAAGAAUGAAACUCAAAGGAAUUGACGGGGGCCCGCACAAGCGGUGGAGCAUGUGGUUUAAUUCGAAGCAACGCGAAACCUUACCAGGUCUUGACAUCGAUCUAAAGGCUCCAGAGAUGGAGAGAUAGCUAUAGAGAAGACAGGUGGUGCAUGGUUGUCGUCAGCUCGUGUCGUGAGAUGUUGGGUUAAGUCCCGCAACGAGCGCAACCCCUGUUGCCAGUUGCCAGCAUUAAGUUGGGGACUCUGGCGAGACUGCCGGUGACAAGCCGGAGGAAGGCGGGGAUGACGUCAAAUCAUCAUGCCCCUUAUGACCUGGGCUACACACGUGCUACAAUGGACAGAGCAGAGGGAAGCGAAGCCGCGAGGUGGAGCGAAACCCAUAAAACUGUUCUCAGUUCGGACUGCAGUCUGCAACUCGACUGCACGAAGAUGGAAUCGCUAGUAAUCGCGAAUCAGCAUGUCGCGGUGAAUACGUUCUCGGGCCUUGUACACACCGCCCGUCACACCAUGAGAGUCGGUAACACCCGAAGCCGGUGGCCUAACCGCAAGGAAGGAGCUGUCUAAGGUGGGACUGAUUAUUGGGGUGAAGUCGUAACAAGGUA